This 194-nucleotide ribosomal RNA is filed under the name uncultured prokaryote. RNAcentral's name for it is "partial 16S ribosomal RNA". It matches the Rfam family "Bacterial small subunit ribosomal RNA", at positions 355 to 546 of the family's 1533-position model. The record is from RNAcentral.
UCGGGAAUAUUGGCCAAUGGGCGCAAGCCUGAACCAGCCAUGCCGCGUGCAGGAUGAAGGCCCUCAGGGUUGUAAACUGCUUUUGUAUGGGAAUAAAAAAGUCCUUGCGAGGACUCUUGAAGGUACCAUAAGAAUAAGCACCGGCUAACUCCGUGCCAGCAGCCGCGGUAAUACGGAGGGUGCAAGCGUUAUCC